This 429-nucleotide ribosomal RNA is filed under the name Chloroflexota bacterium. Its description in RNAcentral is "Chloroflexi bacterium partial 16S ribosomal RNA". It matches the Rfam family "Bacterial small subunit ribosomal RNA", at positions 355 to 776 of the family's 1533-position model. Lineage: Bacteria; Bacillati; Chloroflexota. The record is from RNAcentral.
UGGGGAAUAUUGCACAAUGGGCGCAAGCCUGAUGCAGCCAUGCCGCGUGUAUGAAGAAGGCCUUCGGGUUGUAAAGUACUUUCAGCGGGGAGGAAGGGAGUAAAGUUAAUACCUUUGCUCAUUGACGUUACCCGCAGAAGAAGCACCGGCUAACUCCGUGCCAGCAGCCGCGGUAAUACGGAGGGUGCAAGCGUUAAUCGGAAUUACUGGGCGUAAAGCGCACGCAGGCGGUUUGUUAAGUCAGAUGUGAAAUCCCCGGGCUCAACCCGGGAACUGCAUCUGAUACUGGCAAGCUUGAGUCUCGUAGAGGGGGGUAGAAUUCCAGGUGUAGCGGUGAAAUGCGUAGAGAUCUGGAGGAAUACCGGUGGCGAAGGCGGCCCCCUGGACGAAGACUGACGCUCAGGUGCGAAAGCGUGGGGAGCAAACAGG